ACUGGAGUGGCUCAGUGGUAGAGUGCUUGCCUAGCGUGACAGAAGCCCUCAGUUCAAUCCUCAGAACUGUAGUA
This 74-nucleotide transfer RNA is filed under the name Marmota monax (woodchuck). RNAcentral describes it as "tRNA.Ala". Lineage: Eukaryota; Metazoa; Chordata; Mammalia; Rodentia; Sciuridae. The record is from RNAcentral.